This 414-nucleotide ribosomal RNA is filed under the name Triticum aestivum (bread wheat). RNAcentral's name for it is "partial small subunit ribosomal RNA". The record is from RNAcentral. Lineage: Eukaryota; Viridiplantae; Streptophyta; Magnoliopsida; Poales; Poaceae.
AUGGGGGACGUGUCCACGAUUCAACGCCCAUCCGACAUUGUCCCCAAGGGUGAUCAGGUUGGGGGGCUGGUGUCGGCCGUAUGGACCAACGACACCCACAAAAUGUACAUCAGCUCCAUGGAGGCGUCCUUCAUGCAGCAGCUCUAUGGCCAGCAGCAGCACCACCACCACGCCACUCCCGACAAGAGCAUGAUCCAUGUGGGUAGUGGCCAUGGGCUCAAGGUGCUCCAAGAGGGAGCGUUUGAUAACCCCAGGUCUGAGAAGAACGUGCCUCGCCUGCGUGAUGUUGGUGCACGAGGCCUGCCCGAGGAUCCGUGGGCGAGGCGUUUCAAGCCACGCGAUUCCGCUAUGAAUCGUCGUGGUGAUGGGGUUGGUUCUUCCGAUGGUGAAUCGGGCACCAAUCAGUUCAAGUGA